GAUGAACGCUGGCGGCGUGCCUAAUACAUGCAAGUCGAGCGAACAGAUGAGGAGCUUGCUCCUCUGACGUUAGCGGCGGACGGGUGAGUAACACGUGGAUAACCUACCUAUAAGACUGGGAUAACUUCGGGAAACCGGAGCUAAUACCGGAUAAUAUAUUGAACCGCAUGGUUCAAUAGUGAAAGACGGUUUUGCUGUCACUUAUAGAUGGAUCCGCGCCGCAUUAGCUAGUUGGUAAGGUAACGGCUUACCAAGGCAACGAUGCGUAGCCGACCUGAGAGGGGAAUGGGCAAAACGGGAACGGAGAAACGGUACAAAACCCCAGGGGGGGCAGCAGGAGGGAAUUUUCCGGAAUGGGGGAAAGCCUGAGGGAGCAACGCCGGGGGGGGGAAGAAGGUUUUGGGAUCGAAAAACGUUGUUAUUAGGGAAAAAAAAAGGGGAAAGUAACUAUGCAGGUCUUGACGGUACCAAAUCAAAAAGCCACGGAAAAAUAAGG
This 496-nucleotide ribosomal RNA is filed under the name uncultured bacterium. Its description in RNAcentral is "partial 16S ribosomal RNA". It matches the Rfam family "Bacterial small subunit ribosomal RNA", at positions 28 to 506 of the family's 1533-position model. The record is from RNAcentral.